Long non-coding RNA from Tachysurus fulvidraco (yellow catfish), 1923 nucleotides. RefSeq lists it as uncharacterized. The record is from RefSeq and is a predicted model, not a curated record. The transcript has 2 exons. Lineage: Eukaryota; Metazoa; Chordata; Actinopteri; Siluriformes; Bagridae.
GGGCUCUGGGAUGGGAUUUUUUCCUGCUUUGUUUUUUGUUUGUUUACAUUGUGCUUUUGCUUUGAUUCAUGUCUUGUCUCCUCUUGUUUUGUCACUACUUGUAUCCCUGCUUGCAUCCUAGCACCUGUUUUGAGUUUUGCCCUGUGAUUAGUUUGCUUAUGUAAACCCUUGUGUAUGGCUUUGUGAAGUACAGUAUACGUUAUGUGUUCUUGGAUCCGCCAUGAUCCAGCAUCUUUCCUUAGCUUUUGACCUCACCUAGCCAAGUAAUUCAAGUAAUUCUCUAUUUUUUGAAUGUGACCAGCCUUUUGCUAUUGGAUUUGUCUUUAGGUUAUUUGUUUGAGUUAAAUAAGAAGCUCACCUGCAUUUGUGUCCUCUCAACCUGAUCUGUCUCUCAGUUUGCUAAGUUACAAUAUUACUUAAUUAGAAACGUUAGUACAGUUGGACACUGUUAGCCACAAUUUUAUCUAUAGCUAUUGUUCUGUUUGAGUGUUAGUUUACUGCCAGACCAGAGUUUUUGGUUGUCAGAUUUUUCUCAUACCAACAGUUGUAAAGUUAUUCUUUGUGUAACAGAUGCACAACAGUAUGGUCCCACCUUGAUUCUCUAAAUAUCCCUCUAAUAAGGUACAUACUGAUUUACACACUUGUGUCCAGCACAUUUAAGCAUGUUCUUUACAUAAAUUAUGGUGUAAAGCGGUCACCUAGGAACUGAUGUCUUGCAAAGCACAAACGAGAAGUAAGAUAUAAGGAACAUUAUAUACAAACUUGUCCAGUAGCAGUGUCAGAUUCACACAGCUACUGCUACGUCUCCGGUCAUUCUCAAGUCCUAUCAGAUUCAUCCUGAUGCUCUGGAUCUGGUCGUAAGUUCUGCAUUUGUAAUGCAACUUCUGCUGCUGUGGAUGGUCCCAAAAAGAAUGUAUACCCAAGAGGAGAAGGCUAUCACAUGCCUCCUCCAAGUCAAGAGAAGCUAGCCAAUGGUGUUUUUGCGAUCUGCUGCUCAGGCUGCAUCAGGGGGUGUUGUAACACACUCUGAGGAAAGCACUAUCCACCCCUUUCCAUAUUCAUGAGCUUACAGACACCCAUAAUUAGGAGAAAGCGUGCACCAUCCCUCCCACACAGACAGCAAAGCCAAUUUUGCUCUCUUGGGAUUUGAACUCAUGAUCUCUGGAUGAGAAAAGAGUGAAUGCUUUUCUGUUAUGCCACUUGGGGUAACACACCAAAUUUCCUUUGAAAAUGUUAGUAAUGUUUGACUUUACUUUUUUACACCUGUACACUGUAACGAUUUACUACCCAUUGCUGCUCAGAAGAAGAUGGGCUCUUUAUUCAGUCUGGUUCCUCUAAGAGUUCCAUCCUCAUGUUGUAGUUGGUUCUAGUCCAGUGAUGAAUGGGGCAGAGGGAGGCUGACUCUGCCAGUGACCUGGCUUUUCUGACUCUUUUGACACUGUGCUGACUUUUCCUAUCCUGGCUUACUUGAAAAACUGCCAAACAACCAAUCUCUAUUACGGGUUAGAGUCAUGUUCCCCCUCCUUCUCUUACCAAGUUAUUAGCUUCCUGUUGGCAUUAGACAUGCAGGAAUCAGUGAAGGCUGAAGAGAUUUUUCAGGUCUGGGAGGCAUUCAGUAUGACAGAGAGAAAACAGAAGACAUACCUGAGUUACUUGAUUCCAUGAUUUCAGCAUCAUCAAGCCUUUAUAGCUUAAACUUUUAUUUUUGGAUUAACCAGAAUUCACACUAAUGAGGACAUUAAUUACAUUUUAAUGAGUAUAUAUUUUUCCAUUAUAUAAUCUAUAAUUAACACAAAAGGGUUGUAAAUUGAAAGUGACCCCAUCAAUUAAAUAUCACAAUUUCACUGAAUAUAUACAUUUGUUUUAUUGUGAUGUAAUCAAGGACAUUUGGAUUCACAUCUAAAUAAAAUGAAGCACCUAUAA